GACGGGGGGUCCUAGCGUUGUUCGGAAUCAUUGGGCGUAAAGCGUGUGCAGGUGGUUUGGUAAGUUAGAUGUGAAAUCCUUGGGCUUAACCCAAGAAGUGCAUUUAAAACUCCCAAACUUGAGUAAGGAAGAGGGUCGUGGAAUUCCAGGUGUAGUGGUGAAAUACGUAGAUAUCUGGAGGAACACCGGCGGCGAAGGCGGCGACCUGGUCCUAUACUGACACUCAUACACGAAAGCGUGGGGAUCAAACAGG
Molecule: ribosomal RNA, 253 nt
Filed under: uncultured bacterium
Lineage: Bacteria
Description: partial 16S ribosomal RNA
Rfam family: Bacterial small subunit ribosomal RNA
Source: RNAcentral